RNAcentral lists this transfer RNA (72 nucleotides) under Schistosoma japonicum. Its description in RNAcentral is "tRNA-Leu". The record is from RNAcentral. Lineage: Eukaryota; Metazoa; Platyhelminthes; Trematoda; Strigeidida; Schistosomatidae.
GACUUAGUGGUCCAACGGUAAAGCGUUCGCCGCAAAACCAGAGGGUCCUGGGUUCGACCCUCGAUGAAGUCG